RNAcentral lists this long non-coding RNA (921 nucleotides) under Cricetulus griseus (Chinese hamster). RNAcentral describes it as "lncRNA (ENSCGRG00015043442.1)". Lineage: Eukaryota; Metazoa; Chordata; Mammalia; Rodentia; Cricetidae. The record is from RNAcentral.
UUUUUCUCUGAGUCAUCUUUAAGGAGCCUGCGCCUGCUGACACACAGACCACUAGCCAGCCGGUCUGCACAACGGCCUGCAGACUUUCUGCUCACUCCAUUAGACCCUAGACAGAGAGCAGGAGCCUACACUCAGCCCUCAGGAGCUGAAUGGAGGCAACGGCAGGGACUAGUCUAAUUGACGGUACUGGCAUAAUGACAACUUCGGCCAUACUGUGGAACAAUUUAUUAUGCAUUAUAAGAGCACCACAGAGUAUACAGUAUGACAUACUUGUGCACGCCAUUUUAAUUUUAAGACAACCUGUGAGUUAUGGCUGCAGUGUGACUACUGUUAAAAGUCUCUGCCUUGACUUCCACGGAAUGAUGUGCUACAGCCUGGAAUUGUCUGUCAGGUCUGGAGAGAGACAAUUGCCAGGAGCUGAGGGGUCUGGGCGCCCCACAACUGCAUUCCAACUUCCUUUUUAGAUGCAGUUUUCACGAUAUCGCUCACACAUUGGUUUCCAUGGACACCGAGACCUGAUGCCUCCUUGUCGCAGCUGAGGAGGUCCUUCCUGUCUGGCUCACAUUCUCCACCACACACAGCUGACUUCUUCCUGCUGCUACAACCUCGAUGAACACAACUUCACCCUAAUACUUACUUGUUUUACGCAUCAUGAAAUAAGUGCUUUCCAUAAAGUCCCCACAAUAUCAUUUACAGUUGUAAAAAUAUUGUAUUUUUGUGAGACAUGACUCAUUGAGGCUUAGAUUGAGAAUAAUUAAAAUCUGUACAUUGAGGGCGUGAACUGUGGUAUCAGUUUGCAUUUUGCAUUAGUGGAAGAUAGGUGGGAAAAUUAACACUGAAAUGAAAAGAAAUUCAUGGAGUAUGAAGAAGGCAUGAUUGGCUAUUUUAGUUAGCUCUCAUGCCACUGUGACAACAUGUCCA